Molecule: unclassified non-coding RNA, 155 nt
Organism: Anser brachyrhynchus (Pink-footed goose)
Lineage: Eukaryota; Metazoa; Chordata; Aves; Anseriformes; Anatidae
Source: Ensembl
UUGAUAAACGUAGAGAAUGAAGUCCUGUUUCCAUUCGAACAGCAGAUAGCCUGCACAGUACAAGUUCUCCCGCUUCCACCUCGAUCCUGCUCUGACGUCAUGUCUAGGACUGAGAAAGUUGCUUAGUCUCCACGUCCAUUCAAUCAUACUAUUCU